UUUCUUUUAUGCCAAAAAUCUUUAUGAUAUUACGUGAAGAUCAUGUUCCUACGGUAAAUAUAUAAAAAAUUUAUUAUCAUUAGUAACACGCAUUGCUAAGAACUUCAUCUGGACAACUUUAAAGGUGAUUUGAUCAAUAUUUCGAUUUUUUUGCACCCUCAGUUGUUGUAAAUGUUUAUUAUUCAGCUUCCAGAUGAUGUACACAUCUCUAUUUCGAAAAACUGACCCUUAUGACAGGUUUUAGGGUCCAUGGUUUCAUAUCAUAUCAUGUUGCUUCUCAGGUUAAUGUAUUGUACUGGAAAACAAGACAAAAAUCCUGAAUGGGAAAGAGUUGUUUGCAGGAGAGUCAAGGACGAUCCCAGAUGAGAAGCAGACGCUGGAAUCAUCAGGAGCUCCAGACACAGGGAUCACUUCAUCUCAUCUCUCAGAUCCUACAACAAAAGCACCAUGACAUCAGUUUGUUGUUUUCCUUUCUCUUCGCUGGUUGCUGAUGUACUCUACCCAGGCAUAGAUGUUCAUCCAUCAAUUAUGAACAUUCAGCCGCAAACACAAGGUGCGAGCGCGGAUGGGAGAAUGGAGGAUUUUUUUUUUUUUUUUUGGAGCAGCGGGAUGGUGCCCCCUCCGGGAGUUGGUGCCCUACUCUGCGUGUAGGGAGCGACGGUACUGAACACCUUUAAUAUUGCAGACACUAGUCCAUAUCGAGAUUUGAUUAAAUGCUCUACUUUUGAUUUAUUCAUUUAAACAUGGCUGAAUUCCGUGACGUUCACAGCAAGUUCCAUUUCCUCCAUUCAAUCCCUGUCUCUUUUCAAACACAAACGCGGUGAAUUUAUGAAUGAAAGUGUGAAAGUUAAUUCUGACACAAAACGAAGUUGUUACGUAUCCUCACGCUUUUUAAAAGUGGGUAACGUACCACGUAGUAGACUACACCACGUUAGUUAUUUAUCAUUUAAAAAAAAAAAAAAAGAAGCUUCAUUUAUUGAUAGAUAAUCAAUUAUUACCCAGCUUUUCCUCCUGAGUCUCAGGCCGGUGACACACUGCGUGUCGUGAGCGUGGCGCUUCUGCUGCUGGCGGCUGCUUCGCGUUUUCUG
RNAcentral lists this long non-coding RNA (1088 nucleotides) under Carassius auratus (goldfish). RNAcentral describes it as "lncRNA (ENSCARG00000058108.1)". The record is from RNAcentral. Lineage: Eukaryota; Metazoa; Chordata; Actinopteri; Cypriniformes; Cyprinidae.